RNAcentral lists this ribosomal RNA (512 nucleotides) under uncultured bacterium. RNAcentral's name for it is "partial 16S ribosomal RNA". It matches the Rfam family "Bacterial small subunit ribosomal RNA", at positions 28 to 523 of the family's 1533-position model. The record is from RNAcentral.
GAUGAACGCUGGCGGCAUGCCUAAUACAUGCAAGUCGAACGAGAGGAAGGAAAGCUUGCUUUUCUGAAUCUAGUGGCGAACGGGUGAGUAACACGUAGGUAACCUGCCCAUGUGCCCGGGAUAACUUCCGGAAACGGAUGCUAAAACCGGAUAGGUAGCAGACAAGCAUUUGACUGCUAUUAAAGUGGCUAAGGCCAUGAACAUGGAUGGACCUGCGGUGCAUUAGCUAGUUGGUGAGGUAACGGCCCACCAAGGCGACGAUGCAUAGCCGGCCUGAGAGGGCGGACGGCCACAUUGGGACUGAGACACGGCCCAAACUCCUACGGGAGGCAGCAGUAGGGAAUUUUCGUCAAGGGGGGGAACCCUGAACGAGCAAUGCCGCGUGAGUGAGGAAGGUCUUCGGAUCGUAAAGCUCUGUUGUAAGAGAAAAACGACAUUCAUAGGGAAUGAUGAGUGAGUGAUGGUAUCUUACCAGAAAGUCACGGCUAACUACGUGCCAGCCGCCGCGGUAA